RNAcentral lists this ribosomal RNA (229 nucleotides) under uncultured bacterium. RNAcentral's name for it is "partial 16S ribosomal RNA". It matches the Rfam family "Bacterial small subunit ribosomal RNA", at positions 568 to 796 of the family's 1533-position model. The record is from RNAcentral.
AGCGCAGGCUGUUUUACAAGUCAGAUGUGAAAGCCCAUGGCUCAACCGUGGAAGUGCAUUUGAAACUGUAAGACUUGAGUAUCAGAGGGGAAAGUGGAAUUCCCGGUGUAGAGGUGAAAUUCGUAGAUAUCGGGAGGAAUACCGGUGGCGAAGGCGACUUUCUGGCUGAAUACUGACGCUGAGGCUCGAAAGCGUGGGGAGCAAACAGGAUUAGAUACCCUGGUAGUCC